Molecule: ribosomal RNA, 277 nt
Filed under: uncultured Faecalibacterium sp.
Lineage: Bacteria; Bacillati; Bacillota; Clostridia; Eubacteriales; Oscillospiraceae
Description: partial 16S ribosomal RNA
Rfam family: Bacterial small subunit ribosomal RNA
Source: RNAcentral
AAGACUUCGGUCAAGUUGAACGGAUGACUUAGUGGCGGACGGGUGAGUAACGCGUGAGGAACCUGCCUUUCAGAGGGGGACAACAGUUGGAAACGACUGCUAAUACCGCAUAAGCCCACGGCUCGGCAUCGAGCAGAGGGAAAAGGAGUGAUCCGCUUUGAGAUGGCCUCGCGUCCGAUUAGCUAGUUGGUGAGGUAACGGCCCACCAAGGCGACGAUCGGUAGCCGGACUGAGAGGGUGAUCGGCCACAUUGGGACUGAGACACGGCCCAGACUCC